RNAcentral lists this ribosomal RNA (253 nucleotides) under uncultured bacterium. RNAcentral describes it as "partial 16S ribosomal RNA". It matches the Rfam family "Bacterial small subunit ribosomal RNA", at positions 524 to 776 of the family's 1533-position model. The record is from RNAcentral.
UACGUAGGGUGCGAGCGUUGUCCGGAAUUACUGGGCGUAAAGAGCUCGUAGGUGGUUUGUCGCGUUGUCCGUGAAAACUCACAGCUCAACUGUGGGCGUGCGGGCGAUACGGGCAGACUGGAGUACUGCAGGGGAGACUGGAAUUCCUGGUGUAGCGGUGGAAUGCGCAGAUAUCAGGAGGAACACCGGUGGCGAAGGCGGGUCUCUGGGCAGUAACUGACGCUGAGAAGCGAAAGCGUGGGGAGCGAACAGG